This 700-nucleotide ribosomal RNA is filed under the name uncultured Gammaproteobacteria bacterium. RNAcentral describes it as "bacterial SSU rRNA". It matches the Rfam family "Bacterial small subunit ribosomal RNA", at positions 42 to 721 of the family's 1533-position model. The record is from RNAcentral. Lineage: Bacteria; Pseudomonadati; Pseudomonadota; Gammaproteobacteria.
UCAGGCCUAACACAUGCAAGUCGAGCGGAAACGACAACAAAGAUUCUUCGGAUGAUUUGUUGGGCGUCGAGCGGCGGACGGGUGAGUAAAGCCUGGGAAAUUGCCCUGAUGUGGGGGAUAACCAUUGGAAACGAUGGCUAAUACCGCAUAAUAGCUUCGGCUCAAAGAGGGGGACCUUCGGGCCUCUCGCGUCAGGAUAUGCCCAGGUGGGAUUAGCUAGUUGGUGAGGUAAUGGCUCACCAAGGCGACGAUCCCUAGCUGGUCUGAGAGGAUGAUCAGCCACACUGGAACUGAGACACGGUCCAGACUCCUACGGGAGGCAGCAGUGGGGAAUAUUGCACAAUGGGCGCAAGCCUGAUGCAGCCAUGCCGCGUGUAUGAAGAAGGCCUUCGGGUUGUAAAGUACUUUCAGCAGUGAGGAAGGUGUUGUCGUUAAUAGCGGCAUCAUUUGACGUUAGCUGCAGAAGAAGCACCGGCUAACUCCGUGCCAGCAGCCGCGGUAAUACGGAGGGUGCGAGCGUUAAUCGGAAUUACUGGGCGUAAAGCGCAUGCAGGUGGAUGAUUAAGUCAGGUGUGAAAGCCCGGGGCUCAACCUCGGAAUAGCAUUUGAAACUGGUCAUCUAGAGUACUGUAGAGGGGGGUAGAAUUUCAGGUGUAGCGGUGAAAUGCGUAGAGAUCUGAAGGAAUACCAGUGGCGAAGG